Molecule: long non-coding RNA, 336 nt
Organism: Olea europaea var. sylvestris
Lineage: Eukaryota; Viridiplantae; Streptophyta; Magnoliopsida; Lamiales; Oleaceae
Exons: 3
Source: RefSeq, a predicted model, not a curated record
UUCAUUUCUUCUACUACCCAAGCUGAUGAAUGCAAUUGCCUGAUGAUUUCUAGGAAAUAGAUGAGUUAUGUGAUGAGUGGGUCCCAGAACCCCUCAUUCCUGCAAUUACCGAAGAGAUGAAGUAUCAACCACCAGUAUUGCAAAGUGCUGCAGGACCACAUACAAUAAUCAAUGGGAAAGAAGUUGUUAACUUUGCAUCAGCAAAUUACCUUGGAUUUGUAGGACACGAAAAGUUGCUAGAGUCCUGUACCAAAUCAGUGGAGAAAUAUGGUGUUGGUUCUUGUGGACCUCGUGCAUUUAUGGAACAAUCGGUAUGAUUUAAAUUGUAUCUAAUGA